CCCGCCUUCUGCAGCCCGUGCUCCCCACCCCGAGCACGCUAGGCCCCUCUGCCUGAAGCUGGAGACAGGACCCAGAAAUGUCACACUUCAGACAGAGGCACCAAUACGACAUGGAGCUUCUGAGCCCUAACCAUGGCUGGUGACUCUUCCAGGACCUGAAAAGUGACAUCGUCAGAGGUCCCAUGCUCGAGCAGCCUGUGACUCAGAGGCAGCUGACGUCUGACGCUCUUAAUUCAGCCCAAAUGCUGGAGGUCUGUGUCUUGCGGCAUGCAGGAGGUGGAGGGGCACAUUCCAAGGGAGAAAGCUCUUCCUGCCUUCUACCCACGGAGGGGAGCAACGAGCCCUGAAGUUGUGGACAAGCACAUCCUCGCUCUCAUACCUCCCCUCCCUCCCUGCUUGGCCUCCCAACCCAGACCUGGGAUGGCCUGCUCUCCUGGACCAAGCUUCCUCCUGCCUGCCCCUCCACCCUGACCUCAGACCCAGCUCACUUCCAGGGAGGCCCACUACGCUCCUCCCCACAUCACCUCCAUGCCCUCAUUUCACCUGGAAGACAACCCCUCAGAGGCUUAGGGAAGUGAGUGACUCAUCCAAGGUCAUGGCGCAGCAAAUAAGUGGCAGAGCAAAGAUUUGAACCCCAGGCUCUUGACUCCAAGUCUGGACUCUUUCUUCCAUACCCGAAGGGGGCACCACCGUCCACAUGACCACAGGGGCAGGACCAGAGCAGGAGGUGCUGGGGGUUCGCCCAGCUCUGUGGAUCCCCAAGGCAGAUCCUCUGGCAAGAGACCGAACGCUUCCCCAGGCAGAGGACCCCUGGCCACAGUGGGAGGGGCUGUCCUGGGAAACGUAGGGAGGGGAGAUCCCAACUUGGUAGGGUACCAACGUGA
This is a long non-coding RNA of Lagenorhynchus albirostris (white-beaked dolphin), 884 nucleotides long. RefSeq lists it as uncharacterized. The record is from RefSeq and is a predicted model, not a curated record. NCBI's taxonomy places the organism in Eukaryota, Metazoa, Chordata, Mammalia, Artiodactyla, Delphinidae. The transcript is spliced from 3 exons.